GACAGAGGGUGCAAACGUUGUUCGGAAUUACUGGGCGUAAAGCGAGUGUAGGCGGUUCGCUAAGUCGGGUGUGAAAGCCCCGGGCUCAACCCGGGAAGUGCACUCGAAACUGGCGGGCUAGAGUAUCGGAGAGGUUGGUGGAAUUCUCGGUGUAGAGGUGAAAUUCGUAGAUAUCGAGAGGAACACCGGUGGCGAAGGCGGCCAACUGGACGAAUACUGACGCUGAGACUCGAAAGCGUGGGGAGCAAACAGG
RNAcentral lists this ribosomal RNA (253 nucleotides) under uncultured bacterium. Its description in RNAcentral is "partial 16S ribosomal RNA". It matches the Rfam family "Bacterial small subunit ribosomal RNA", at positions 524 to 776 of the family's 1533-position model. The record is from RNAcentral.